CCGACGGGUGAGUAACACGUAUCCAACCUGCCGUCUACUCUUGGACAGCCUUCUGAAAGGAAGAUUAAUACAAGAUGGCAUCAUGAGUCCACAUGUUCACAUGAUUAAAGGGUAUUCCGGUAGACGAUGGGGAUGCGUUCCAUUAGAUAGUAGGCGGGGUAACGGCCCACCUAGUCUUCGAUGGAUAGGGGUUCUGAGAGGAAGGUCCCCCACAUUGGAACUGAGACACGGUCCAA
This 236-nucleotide ribosomal RNA is filed under the name uncultured bacterium. RNAcentral's name for it is "partial 16S ribosomal RNA". It matches the Rfam family "Bacterial small subunit ribosomal RNA", at positions 102 to 334 of the family's 1533-position model. The record is from RNAcentral.